Molecule: long non-coding RNA, 316 nt
Organism: Drosophila simulans
Lineage: Eukaryota; Metazoa; Arthropoda; Insecta; Diptera; Drosophilidae
Exons: 2
Source: RefSeq, a predicted model, not a curated record
AGCAUCCAUUCCAAGGGUGUCGAAAAGGGGUCAUACAAUUCUAAAAUUAAGAAAUCAUUAUUUAAAAUAUUAACUAUUUUUAUAUUAAGAUAACCAGAAAAUUCGAAUUAGUAAUUUUUUAUAAAAAUAUAAAAUUCUAUUAUAAAAAUAAUAAAUAAAUAUUAUUUUAUUUAAUAUUCCAUCUACGGCGUACAUACAUACAUACAUGAUUCGGUGUAACCGCCGCCCCUUUGAUGUUUGUAUGUCAAUAUGUAAUUAUUGAAUAAAUGAUUUCUGUGGAGGCCAACAAAGUCAAAUCACACAAUCUUUCUCGGUA